Non-coding RNA from Pelobates cultripes (western spadefoot toad), 202 nucleotides. NCBI's taxonomy places the organism in Eukaryota, Metazoa, Chordata, Amphibia, Anura, Pelobatidae. The record is from the annotation of a GenBank genome assembly.
CCAAAUCCUCUAGUGGCUGUCUCAUUGACAGCCACUAGAGGCGCUUUGGUGCUUCUCACUGUGAUUUUUACAGUGAGAGCACGCAAGCAUCCAUAGGAAAGCAUUGUAAAUGCUUUCCUAUGCGACGGGCUGAAUGCGCGCGCAGCUCUUGCCGCGCGUGCGCAUUCAGCCCAGAAGGAGGAACGGAGGAGGAGAGAAGGAG